ACAAAAUUGGCGAUAGAGGGCAUCCCUGAUGGGUACCAUUAUUCAAAUCAAACCAUUCCAAACAUAGAUCCACUCCUACCACUCUAGCGGUUGGGCAUUUAUAUAUUGUUUUUAUAGCCUUCAACAUCCAUCCAUAAAAACCGAAUGUUUCCAAAACUUUAAACAUAUAUCCCCAUCCAACCCUGUCAAAAAAGCAUUCUCUGCGUCCAACGACAGGGUUAUGAGGGGAAUCCCAUUUGCCACCCCCAAGUCCAUUAUAUAAAUUAAACGUCUGGUAUUAAAACAUGCUUGUCUAUUUGACACAAAGCCAAUUCGAUCCCUAUUAACUAGGUACGAAAAGAAGAUUUGUAUCCUAUCUGCCAAAAUUGCUGAAAAUAAUUUAGAAUCUAUGUUAAGAGAGAUUGGACGAUAGUUUUUAAUUUCCUAUUGGUUUUUAUCUUUCUUUACAGCAGUAUAAUAUUUGCCUGAAAAAGUUCCUUUGGGCCUGAGCCCUUAGAGACAACUUCAUUGAAUGAGUUGGUAAAAUGUUCAUUUAAAACCUCCUUAAAAGCCUUAUAGAACCCGUUGGUCAGACUAGUAUUCUUAAAAUUAGCGAGUCUAUCUAUGGAUUUAUCCAUUUCUAAAUUUGGUAUAGAGGAAUUUAGUAUACUAUUUUGAUCUUGGUUGAGCCUGGGAAUAUCUAAAUCCUUCAAAUAACGAAUAAUUUGUUGUUCCCCUGCUUUAUUUGGUAUGUUGUAUAGCUUGUGAUAGAAAUUUUAAAAUACUUUAGCUAUACUUUUUGGG
Molecule: non-coding RNA, 783 nt
Organism: Pelobates cultripes (western spadefoot toad)
Lineage: Eukaryota; Metazoa; Chordata; Amphibia; Anura; Pelobatidae
Source: the annotation of a GenBank genome assembly